AAGGCCCGGUCCUCCAGACCAAACAAGCCGAAACAAUGAGAGACCUUUCGUCUCCUUCUCGGUCCGAUUCCAACACCGAAGAUGGUCUCCGGCGACGGGCUUUCGAGACCGGUAAGUGUCCCUUUUCUUUCUUUUUCGUUUUGUUUUUUUAGUUUCAAAGAGUAGUAAAAAAACAGAAAAUAGAAGAAUAUAUAAAAAAAAUUAUUAAGAACAGAGAAAGAAAUUUGGAGUCAACCUUUUCAAUUUUUUUGAUCUGCUCCCUUUUUUUUUGAAUACAGAUUUUGGUGGCUUUUAUAGCCAAAAGAUAAUCCUAAAAAUCUAUUUCCUAUUUUAUUUUUAUCAUUUCUGUCCAAUAUUGCUACUGCUGCUGCUGUUGUUCCCCUUUCUUUGCUUUGCUUGCAGGUACUGGUGAAGUCAACGGGUAUUGGAAGAAUAAACCUAGCCUUUUUUGUGCAAAACUGGUCGUGCUUCGGGCGUUGAGUGCACUGCAAAUGCACGAGGAGACGUACGGCGCACUGAGGCUGCUGGUUGUGAGCUGAAUUGGGCUAGGGUUUUGCCAUCUUGGGCCUCUAUUGUGUUUUUAUUUGGGCUACGGAUUUUGUUUUAAUUUUGUUUAUUAUUGUGUGUUUUGUGUUUAAGGUCAGGGUAGAAUUGGGCCCGUACAAAGUGGAUUAAGAUCUCUGCUCUAGCAUUGUUUUUAAUUUGUUUUAUUAUUAUUAAGUUAGGCUUGGAGAACUUUUAGGUGAAACCCUAAUUUUUUUAAAAAUAGGCAUAAAGUCUCUCUUUGUAAUCUUGAAUCUUUUUGAAUUUGUAUAAUCCAACAAUUUUAAAGAUGAGAUAAUAUUGAUU
This 849-nucleotide long non-coding RNA is filed under the name Gossypium barbadense (sea-island cotton). Its description in RNAcentral is "long non-coding RNA (GBAR_LNC013358)". Lineage: Eukaryota; Viridiplantae; Streptophyta; Magnoliopsida; Malvales; Malvaceae. The record is from RNAcentral.